RNAcentral lists this ribosomal RNA (433 nucleotides) under uncultured bacterium. RNAcentral's name for it is "partial 16S ribosomal RNA". It matches the Rfam family "Bacterial small subunit ribosomal RNA", at positions 29 to 507 of the family's 1533-position model. The record is from RNAcentral.
AACGAACGCUGGCGGCAUGCCUAACACAUGCAAGUCGAACGAGACCUUCGGGUCUAGUGGCGCACGGGUGCGUAACGCGUGGGAACCUGCCCUUAGGUUCGGAAUAACUCCCCGAAAGGGGUGCUAAUACCGGAUAAUGUCUUCGAACCAAAGAUUUAUCGCCUUUGGAUGGGCCCGCGUUGGAUUAGCUAGUUGGUAGGGUAAAAGCCUACCAAGGCGACGAUCCAUAGCUGGUCUGAGAGGAUGAUCAGCCACACUGGGACUGAGACACGGCCCAGACUCCUACGGGAGGCAGCAGUGGGGAAUAUUGGACAAUGGGCGAAAGCCUGAUCCAGCAAUGCCGCGUGAGUGAUGAAGGCCUUAGGGUUGUAAAGCUCCUUUACCCGGGAUGAUAAUGACAGUACCGGGAGAAUAAGCUCCGGCUAACUCCGUG